Molecule: ribosomal RNA, 527 nt
Filed under: uncultured bacterium
Lineage: Bacteria
Description: bacterial SSU rRNA
Rfam family: Bacterial small subunit ribosomal RNA
Source: RNAcentral
AGCUAAUAGAUACCCGGGUAGUCCACGCCGUAAACGAUGAGUGCUAAGUGUUAGAGGGUUUCCGCCCUUUAGUGCUGCAGCUAAACGCAUUAAGCACUCCGCCUGGGGAGUACGGUCGCAAGACUGAAACUCAAAGGAAUUGACGGGGGCCCGCACAAGCGGUGGAGCAUGUGGUUUAAUUCGAAGCAACGCGAAGAACCUUACCAGGUCUUGACAUCCUCUGACAACUCUAGAGAUAGAGCGUUCCCCUUCGGGGGACAGAGUGACAGGUGGUGCAUGGUUGUCGUCAGCUCGUGUCGUGAGAUGUUGGGUUAAGUCCCGCAACGAGCGCAACCCUUGAUCUUAGUUGCCAGCAUUUAGUUGGGCACUCUAAGGUGACUGCCGGUGACAAACCGGAGGAAGGUGGGGAUGACGUCAAAUCAUCAUGCCCCUUAUGACCUGGGCUACACACGUGCUACAAUGGAUGGUACAAAGGGCUGCAAGACCGCGAGGUCAAGCCAAUCCCAUAAAACCAUUCUCAGUUCGGA